This is a long non-coding RNA of Temnothorax curvispinosus, 1744 nucleotides long. RefSeq lists it as uncharacterized. The transcript has 2 exons. The record is from RefSeq and is a predicted model, not a curated record. Lineage: Eukaryota; Metazoa; Arthropoda; Insecta; Hymenoptera; Formicidae.
GUAGCUAUAGAAUUUCCAACAAUUAAUGAAACCACAUUUGGUAGGAAAGCGGGACCAUGGUUGGCCCAGGCCAUCUUUCGUAUAAAAAAACAUAACAGCAAAAAGGAAAAAGCUGCAGAUGACAUUUCAGAAAUAUCUGGUGAAGAUGAAGACGACUCAUCUGCAAACGAAAAUAUUGGUGCCCAUGAUGACGGCUCAUCUGAUGCAAACGAAAAUAGCGACCGAGGUUAAAAAACUCAUUUAUCUUACUAUUAUAAUAUUAUGUACUGGAUGUGCAAUUUUAUUAUUUUUAUAUUAUUUAAACUUAAUACACCAUCCCAAGGAGAACAGAAAAACAUUAUAUGUUGACCAAAUUGAUGUUACUUUAUUUAUUUUUUUAAUUUUUAAAAUCAAUUUUAUUAAUUUGAUUUUCUGUUUUCCUUGGAAUGUAUUGUUUUUGGAAUCUCGAUUAUUUCAUAUUUGAGGGGAAUCUUUUUUGAAUGAAAUAUUAACGGUGAUGAGAAAAGGCGGUUUAAAAUGUAUUUAGAGCUGUAAUAUCAGGCACUGUGAGCUUAUCACGGAAACUAUAGAUAAUAGAUAAACAGUAAUGAGAUAACUGCUGACACGAAAAAAGAGAAAACUGAAAUUGCAAAUUGAACAUUGUGAACAGAUGUGUACAGAAUGUUGAUCUGGACGAAUGGUUGUUCAUGCUCGCUGGUUUCAACCUUCGACCAAUAUACGUAAUUUUCGUUUGUAGCGACACCGAGUACAUGGCUUAAGUUUGCAAAUUCUAAGUAUAUUUUCGAGUCGAGAUAUUUCGCGAAUCUCCAUUGUCGUAGAGGGUUCCAUCGUCAGCUGAAUAUCGAGAGACAGAUUUCGCAUUUUUAUAAAAUGUAAUGUAAAUGUAUAUGCGCUAUCAUACUCGCGAGUUUAGCUUAUCAUGGGCUUUGCAAGUUCUCUUCUCGUCUUACGAAAUGUAAUUAAUUUCGCGUAUACAACUCUACGAUUCUGGAAAAGUUACAUAUUCUUGAUUGCGUAUGCCAUAAAUAAGACUCGUCAAUAUAACAUGAAAAAAGAAAUAUUUAGGUAAACGUAAUACGAUCUUUUUUGUGUCACUGUUAAUGCAAAGAUACUGUAAUGAAUUAAGCUAAUGUGCGAUUUUGUUGAUCAAAUAAUCUGUCGCCCACUGCAUAUUAAUUUGAUCGAUCGGAAUCGCAUACGAUUGCGUCAUAGUCUAAUAUUACGGUCCCCUUUCAUUUUAUUAUCUAUUUAAUAUACAAACGUAAAUGGGUUCAAUGUAAUAACCAUUGUUUCGCCAAACAAUCUAAUCCGCGAAAUGUUCCCAUUUACAAAGUACGAAAAAUCUGCUCUUAUUCUAUUAGCUUUUCCUGUUUUGCUUACGGCUAUUCUUUGAAAAUUUUUUUGGCAAUAUUACAUAGACUAAGAAGAAAAUACUUUGUCUUACUGCGUUGUAAUUGGAAACGUCGAUAGAUCCAUUUUAUGGAGUCUAUUUUGCGAAAUGUAUUUUAUUCAGCUUUCGAAAGAGUCAAUAAGCUAAUAAGUUGCUAAUAAGCAAGCGUUCAAAUUUUUUGAUUUUAUAAAAAUUUUACCAACUAUUCUAUUCCAAUCAAAAAUUAUUUCCAACCAAAAAUUCUUACUGAUCUUUAAAUGUGAUCGAUGCACGAUGUUCGUACAUUUCACCCAUACAAAAACUUGUAAACGAAAACUCGUCCAUUAAUAUUAAUAUUAAAAAUCGACAAAUUUG